CUGCCUUCUCAGACAACACAAUGGGGGUGAGGUGAGGGGCACCUGUGGAGCAGCCUGGGGGGGAGCUCACACACACCCUGCUGUGGGGCCUGGACGCCCCCGCCCAACAUUGCUGAUCCUCCAGAAGCUGGAGUGACUCCCCAGCAGCCAAGAAGGGUUCCUCACAGUCCACACUGGACACGCACCGUUGACACUUGAGUGCCCACGUCGUGCCGUAAGGGAACGCCUGCUCUCCAGACUUGUCCUCCAUAGUCUCACCGUCAGAGCGUAAGGCCAGGACAGACCCAAGAGAGGUGCCUGGAAGUGUUUCCGGAACAUGGCCAGCACUGUCAGGCCUCAGACAGAGCCUGGCCUGAGCAGAUGCUCCAUAAGUAUUGUGGAGGCGUUGUGGCCGUCCGCACACGAAGUUCAGCAAGUCCUGGUGAUUACCACGGAAAGAACAGCUCCCCGCCUCUUCUCCUCUCUCUGCUGCAUGAACCGUUCCCCUAACUCUGUACUUCUCAACUCUGGCUGGUCAUUAAACACUUGGGGAGCUUAUGAAGCUACU
Zalophus californianus (California sea lion) is the source of this 547-nucleotide long non-coding RNA. RefSeq lists it as uncharacterized. The transcript has 3 exons. NCBI's taxonomy places the organism in Eukaryota, Metazoa, Chordata, Mammalia, Carnivora, Otariidae. The record is from RefSeq and is a predicted model, not a curated record.